GGGUUGUGAGGUUAAGCGACUAAGCGUACACGGUGGAUGCCCUGGCAGUCAGAGGCGAUGAAGGACGUGCUAAUCUGCGAAAAGCGCCGGUAAGGUGAUAUGAACCGUUAUAACCGGCGAUGUCCGAAUGGGGAAACCCAGUGUGAUUCGUCACACUAUCAUUAACUGAAUCCAUAGGUUAAUGAGGCGAACCGGGGGAACUGAAACAUCUAAGUACCCCGAGGAAAAGAAAUCAACCGAGAUUCCCCCAGUAGCGGCGAGCGAACGGGGAGGAGCCCAGAGCCUGAAUCAGCAUGUGUGUUAGUGGAAGCGUCUGGAAAGGCGCGCGAUACAGGGUGACAGCCCCGUACACAAAAGCGCAUGUGCUGUGAGCUCGAUGAGUAGGGCGGGACACGUGGUAUCCUGUCUGAAUAUGGGGGGACCAUCCUCCAAGGCUAAAUACUCCUGACUGACCGAUAGUGAACCAGUACCGUGAGGGAAAGGCGAAAAGAACCCCGGCGAGGGGAGUGAAAAAGAACCUGAAACCGUGUACGUACAAGCAGUGGGAGCCCCACCACCAAAGCAUUCUCUGGUGUUGAAGGCCCUGCAAAGCAGCAUCGCGGUGGCGGAGCGUCGUUUGCGACGCCCAACACACAAAACAAGCGGUGAGUGCUUUGGGGUGGGGUGACUGCGUACCUUUUGUAUAAUGGGUCAGCGACUUAUAUUCUGUAGCAAGGUUAACCGAAUAGGGGAGCCGGAGGGAAACCGAGUCUUAAUUGGGCGUUAAGUUGCAGGGUAUAGACCCGAAACCCGGUGAUCUAGCCAUGGGCAGGUUGAAGGUUGGGUAACACUAACUGGAGGACCGAACCGACUAAUGUUGAAAAAUUAGCGGAUGACCUGUGGCUGGGGGUGAAAGGCCAAUCAAACCGGGAGAUAGCUGGUUCUCCCCGAAAGCUAUUUAGGUAGCGCCUCGUGAACUCAUCUCCGGGGGUAGAGCACUGUUUCGGCUAGGGGGCCAUCCCGGCUUACCAACCCGAUGCAAACUGCGAAUACCGGAGAAUGUUAUCACGGGAGACACACGGCGGGUGCUAACGUCCGUCGUGAAGAGGGAAACAACCCAGACCGCCAGCUAAGGUCCCAAAGUCAUGGUUAAGUGGGAAACGAUGUGGGAAGGCCCAGACAGCCAGGAUGUUGGCUUAGAAGCAGCCAUCAUUUAAAGAAAGCGUAAUAGCUCACUGGUCGAGUCGGCCUGCGCGGAAGAUGUAACGGGGCUAAACCAUGCACCGAAGCUGCGGCAGCGAACGUAUCACUUAAAGCGAUUCAGCGGGUUACGAUUGACGGAGCGAAGCGACGUCAAAGCGUAUACAAAGUCGAGUCG
RNAcentral lists this ribosomal RNA (1357 nucleotides) under Salmonella enterica. RNAcentral describes it as "partial 23S ribosomal RNA". It matches the Rfam family "Bacterial large subunit ribosomal RNA", at positions 1 to 1266 of the family's 2925-position model. The record is from RNAcentral. Lineage: Bacteria; Pseudomonadati; Pseudomonadota; Gammaproteobacteria; Enterobacterales; Enterobacteriaceae.